UUAGAUACCCUAUUAUACUAAUAAUAACCUGGACUAUUGUUAGAUAUGUUCUUUAAAUUCGAAGAAUUUGGCGGUGGUUUAAUCUUGUUAGAGGAACCUGUUUUUGAAUCGAUACACCACGUAAAAUUUUACUCAUUUUAUAUAGCUUAUAUACCGUCAUUAACAGAUAAUUUUUAAAGGAAAUAAUUGUUGGAAUCCCUAGCUGAUCAAGAUGAAUUAAAUUAGAUCAAGGUGUAGUCUAUAAAUGAGUUAAAAUGGGUUACAAUAAAAUAUAUUUAAUACGGAUUGAUUAAAGCUUGAAAAAUAAUCAUGAAGGAGGAUUUAAUUGUAAAAUAAGUUUAAUAAGCUUGAAAGAUAUAAGCUCUAAACCAUGUACAUAUCGCCCGUCGCUA
RNAcentral lists this ribosomal RNA (392 nucleotides) under Visayax osteodictyon. RNAcentral's name for it is "partial 12S ribosomal RNA". The record is from RNAcentral. Lineage: Eukaryota; Metazoa; Arthropoda; Malacostraca; Decapoda; Xanthidae.